GCCAGCCAAAGGUGUGACAGUUCAGUGGGGAAAGUGGAAGGGUGAUCUAUGGCACUAGGUGCCCCCUCUUCCUUAAAGUUUCUUUUUUUUUGCUCUCUCUCUCUCUCUCUCACUCUCUCUCUCUCUCUUUCUCUCUCCCAGGAGACCUGCUGUGCCCCAGGUCCAGACUGAAACUUUGCAAGGGAAAGAAUGUAUUAGAAGGUUCCAGCCCGAGGAUUUCAGAAACCAGGGUUACAGGCAAACAUUCAAAAAGUGCGAUGGAAAACGAACGAUCUCCCCCAAAGGAAGAUCGGAUAGAGUUCCGCGACUGCAGGCUCCAAAUUGCCUCUGUUGCCACAAAGAAGAUCCACAAUUUCCCAUUCGUGGGGAUCCAAGGCGUUUAGGAAACCUGAGAAGGUUUUUCGGAAUUUCAAGUGCCCACUUCACCCCAAGACUCCGGGAGAGGAAGAGAAGGCCCCAGAGGAGGAAGGAGGAGACUCGAACGGCCCGCCCACCCCUGCACCCACCAAACCACAAGCUUUAA
Molecule: long non-coding RNA, 523 nt
Filed under: Ornithorhynchus anatinus (platypus)
Lineage: Eukaryota; Metazoa; Chordata; Mammalia; Monotremata; Ornithorhynchidae
Description: lncRNA (ENSOANG00000042141.1)
Source: RNAcentral